AUCAGAGGAGGGACUCAGGGCUGGGAUGUGGGAGGAAGGGAAUUGGGGUUGAAGUGGCAGGUCUGGGUCCCCAGCAUUUAGAAUUUUUUUUUUUUUUUUCUUUUUAGAGCCACACCAGCGGCAUAUGGAGGUUCCUAGGCUAGGGGUCCAAUUAGAGCUACAGCUGCCGGCCUAUGUCAGAGCCACAGGAACACCAAAUCCGAGCCACGUCUGAGACCUACACCACAGCUCAUGGCAACACCAGAUCCUUAAUCCACUGAGUAAGGCCAGGGAUCGAACCCUCAACCUCAUGGUUCCUAGUUGGAUUCAUGUUCACUGCGCCACAACAGGAACUCCUGCAUUUCGAAAUUUUGUUGGCGCUUCUCACACACUGCUCUCCAGGUUUUCCCUGGAAGAGGCGACUAAGCUGGUCCCUGCAAAUGGGUAUCUUUAAAUCACGUUCAAAUUACCUAUUUUGCUGCAGAGUGCUUUCUUGUUUGUUUUAAUAUCAUGCUCUUUCAGUUUUUACUAGGCUGCAAAAUCACCUGGGAGCUUGUAAACACAGAUUGCUAGACCCCACAGCACCACAGAUUCUGGUACUGGAGGGCUAGGUGGGGCCUGAGAACGGGCAUUUCCACCAAGUUUUGCUGGGUGAUACUGGUGUUGUAGUCAGGGAUCCAUAACCUGAGAACCACUGUCCUGUCCAUCAAGACUUUCAGAAAAAUUGGUACUCCAAGAAGAUGCUCCAUGCCAGCCUUUGUGGCUUCUCAGUACAUCUUCAUGCAGAGAACCUUGUAGGCAAUUGGCACUGGUCCACCGUGGAAAACCACAAAUGCCAAGCCAUGAACAACAGCCCCUUGAAGGGCCGUGGCUGAUGCUCUUCCUGCAUCCUCAGAGUUUGAGGGGAUGGGAAAUGAGCAGGUCAGGCCAUGCAAAGGGUCUGGCUCCAAGGGCCCUUGAGUGGAAAGGUUAUAUCAUGAGCUUUAUCAUCUUGCAGGUGAAUGGUUGGUUCCUGACUUCCUGCAGUCUCUCAUUUGAUAAUAAUUAAAAAAAAGAUUUAAAUCCCCCCUCAUAAACAUAACAGACUCUCUCCAUAUGGACCUAAAGGACAGCAGGGGCCUCGUAAAAGAUACAAAAUGUGUCCCUGCAGGGGAGGAGGUCUCACUUGGAGGAGGGAGGAAGUUGACACGGGUAUUUCCCAGGCUGCAUGUUGAUUCAAAGGAGAAACCAGUCAGUAAACUUUGUAAGAUACUGUCAAAACCAAGCCCAAAGUGCUUGGUGUUAAUUUCAAAAUAUAGAAAGAGAUAGCAUCGACUAGAAAUUGAUCAGUAAAACAUAGCAUUCAACAGAGAACUCUUAAAAAUAAAGGAUGACAUGUGACGUCCUUUUUUAAAGACCCUACGUCCAAGAAAAAUUCCCUCAAGUGAAAACACAAGGUAGCCCUCAACCUUGCCUGGCUCCAUGGGAACGGAACAACGUUCAGCGCAGGGCGAGGCCUGCCUGUUUGUUUCCUGGACUGGUUAGAACCUUCUGUUACUCGUGGAUAGAACUCUGUUUCACAGAGCGAGGGCUGUGGGUGAGGAAAAAGUUGGGGAUUGUGUGCUGUGACCACAAGGCACCAAACUGGGUGACAGUCCCUUCCCGUCGUGGCGCAGUGGUUAACGAACAAACCCGACUGGGAACCAUGAGGUUGCGGGUUCGAUCCCUGCCCUUGCUGAGUGGGUUAAUGCUCCGGUGUUGCCGUGAGCUGUGGUGUAGGUCGAAGAUGCGGCUCGGAUCCCGUGUUGCUGUGGCUCUGGUGUAGGCCAGCUCUGAUUAGACCCCUAGCUUGGGAACCUCCAUAUGCCGCGGGAGUGGCCCUAGAAAUGG
This 1848-nucleotide long non-coding RNA is filed under the name Sus scrofa (pig). RNAcentral's name for it is "lncRNA (ENSSSCG00000062161.1)". Lineage: Eukaryota; Metazoa; Chordata; Mammalia; Artiodactyla; Suidae. The record is from RNAcentral.